CUGCAUGACUGAGAAUCUGGGAUACCACCACAUUCCACUGCAGCCUCAGCGGCCUUAAGACAUUUUCGUUUCUGCUGGAGGGGAAAACAGACAGGAUACAGAGAUGGUGAAAGUUUGAUUUCAGGCUGAGAAACGGGGUGAUAUCAUCAGUCUGAGAAUUACUCACUGGUGUUAGCUGAGUCACCUGUCCAGAAAUAGAGCAGGCAGAGCUGAGGUAAGCGGCCGAGGGGGUGUCAGGAGGGGGUGGCUACACCUGCACCUCUUCUAAUUCCAGCACCGCACCGCUUGGCUCUGAAGUCCAGGAGCAGCUGUGACUCAGCUGUGACCGGCCUGGGGGAUGGAUACGGAGGACUCAGAGGAGGAAAGACUUGUGAGGAUGCUGAACCUGUCUAGAGGUGUUGGACAACUUGAGGAGGUGAAGAAGAGCUGACCCAUAACCCCAGCAGAUACACAGUCAAUAAAGAGGAUCUCUGGACCACAAAGGAGAUGAUAAGAGACAACGCCGUCAUUGAGAUUCUAACCUGGGGCUUCCAGAUACUAAUCAGGUGAACUGUAUAUUAAAUCAGACUGCCAAGAAGAUUUUUUUCAAUAUUUUAACUUUGGAAGACUAAAGAAACUGGUGCUUCCAGCUACACUUUAAACUGAAUUUGUAUUCCAUCUCAAUUUCCUUUGAGCCUCUCUGAGUCCAUUUGAUGCUAUUAUCCACAGAUGGACAAAGCUAUUUUCCACAGCUGAUUUCACAUGUGAUUCUGCAAGCUAUUUGCCUUUCUACUUCCCUGUAAGCCUGCAGAUUAUAAUUUUCAAAUACCCUCAAGUAUGUGUUCAUUCUCACGAGCACUGAGUCAGUAUCUAAAUGCCGAACAGCACCAUUUCUGAACAGCCAUAUCUACAGAUCUGAAAGGCAGUGAUCUGAGGAGAGCCAGCAGUAAGAAGAGAUCCAAAGGUUCUUUUUCUCAGGUUAUUUUUCUAAAUAGGUCAGUGGUUUGCAACAUAUUUGGUAAAUAAGAAUCACCUAAGUAGAUCUCCAGGCUUGAUCCUCACCCUACAAGUCAGGAUCUCUAAAAGUGAUCCCAGG
RNAcentral lists this long non-coding RNA (1075 nucleotides) under Capra hircus (goat). RNAcentral's name for it is "lncRNA (ENSCHIG00000004966.1)". The record is from RNAcentral. Lineage: Eukaryota; Metazoa; Chordata; Mammalia; Artiodactyla; Bovidae.